CUUGGUCAUUUAGAGGAAGUAAAAGUCGUAACAAGGUUUCCGUAGGUGAACCUGCGGAAGGAUCAUUAACCUUUCAAAACAGGGUGCGUCGCGGCCCCCGAGGUGCGGAAACAAGCCUCGAGCGGUUUGGGGUCCUCCCCUUCACGCGCGCACGACUGCAUCCUUACUUUACGAGCACCUUCUGUUCUCCCUCGGCGGGGCAACCUGCCGUUGGAACCGAAUAAACUCUUUUUGCAUCUAGCAUUACCUGUUCCGAAACAAACAAUCGUUACAACUUUCAACAAUGGAUCUCUUGGCUCUGGCAUCGAUGAAGAACGCAGCGAAAUGCGAUAAGUAGUGUGAAUUGCAGAAUUCAGUGAAUCAUCGAAUCUUUGAACGCACAUUGCGCCCCUGGUAUUCCGUGGGGCAUGCCUGUUCGAGCGUCAUCUACACCCUCAAGCUCUGCUUGGUGUUGGGCGUCUGUCCCGCCUCCGCGCGUGGACUCGCCCCAAAUUCAUUGGCAGCGGUCCUUGCCUCCUCUCGCGCAGCACAUUGCGCUUCUUGAGGGGCUCCGGUUCGCGUCCAACAAGCACAUUUACCGUCUUUGACCUCGGAUCAGGUAGGGAUACCCGCUGAACUUAAGCAUAUCAAUAAGCGGAGGA
Molecule: ribosomal RNA, 641 nt
Filed under: Pseudopithomyces chartarum
Lineage: Eukaryota; Fungi; Ascomycota; Dothideomycetes; Pleosporales; Didymosphaeriaceae
Description: partial 18S ribosomal RNA
Rfam family: 5.8S ribosomal RNA (bases 273-425)
Source: RNAcentral